UUAAAUUUGGCUCGUACGUUUUUGAAGUACGGCUAUCCAUAAGUUGGUUUUUGUCAGCACUUGGCCUGUAAAAUUGUUGUUGUUCCGAAAAUAGGCGCCGCCUAAGUAUGAGGCUUAUAUUUUAGUAUAGUAGACCAUGUAGUAAAUGUGUAUAGAAGGUUUUAUUAAAUUUUGCUCGUACGUUUUUUAGGUACUGGACCAUUUGUAGGGUUUCUCAGAACUUGCCUUGUUAAAUGAUUAUAGUACUGAAAAUGGCCGCUAUAAAUGGAGAUUAUUAUCAUUAGAGUAGUGUUUGUUCAUUUAAAAUCUUUAUUUGUAGUAUUUAUCUUCACGUUAUUAAUGAAAUAUAUAUUUUGUAUGGUUUGAGUUGAUGAACUAGGUUAGGAUUCAGUUAGGAACUAGUUCCUGGUACUCGUUCUUUUUAUGGAGGGAAUCUAUGGCCAGUUUCAUGUCGGUGGAAAUUAACCUCUUGCAUGUUGUUAAACAUUAAUUCGAUUAUUUAAAUUAGAGAACAGUGUGUAAAAGUGGCGAGAAUAUUGGCAAAAUGUAUAUAAAUUCUUUUUUCAGGAUCUUGCCAGGAUGCUGCCUUCUGUUCCUUACUUCCUGAAACUGCUCAUCUUUUACUCCUCCAUGUGAUUGAGAUCUUCAGAGAUCUUCAAUCAAUGACCUGGAAGCUAGCAGCUAUUCUACUUGCUGUGUCAGCUAUUCAUCCUUCAUUUAUUCCCUGAGUAUUUCUUAAUGGUGAACUGGGUAUGGAGUGUAUGGGCCAGCAGGAACGCAUGCAGCAUAGCUGUGCACGAUCAACAGGGCAAAAGAAACGGCUGUUAACACUGAAGCAAACGAACAUGUUUAACUUUUUCUUUUUCCCAUUUAAAUUGAUAUGAACACUCCUUUGCACCAGCCUUUGCACCAAUUGUUUCGGAUUAUAAACGCUCUGCUGUAAACUGUCCACCUACCUCUAUUCAUUAACAUCAAUUGAAUGUAGAUUUAAGCAGUAUUGCAUAUUAAAUGUUUAGUAUAGAGAAGUAAGAAAAUAAAAUUUUUCUUUAAAUAA
Long non-coding RNA from Homalodisca vitripennis (glassy-winged sharpshooter), 1054 nucleotides. RefSeq lists it as uncharacterized. NCBI's taxonomy places the organism in Eukaryota, Metazoa, Arthropoda, Insecta, Hemiptera, Cicadellidae. The transcript has 2 exons. The record is from RefSeq and is a predicted model, not a curated record.